RNAcentral lists this small RNA (1061 nucleotides) under Pongo abelii (Sumatran orangutan). RNAcentral describes it as "retained intron". The record is from RNAcentral. Lineage: Eukaryota; Metazoa; Chordata; Mammalia; Primates; Hominidae.
CCUUCUGGAACAGCAGCAAAUAUGGGAUGGUGACGUACCUGCUGCGAAUGAUGACCAGCUGGGCCAUUGUCUGCAGCGUGUGGUACCUGCCUCCCAUGACUAGAGAGGCAGAUGAAGAUGCCGUCCAGUUUGCGAAUAGGGUGAAAUCUGCCAUUGCCAGGCAGGGAGGACUUGUGGACCUGCUGUGGUAAGUUUAGAGCCAGGCCUUUUCAGCUGAGUUUCUGCAGCAGAUGCUGUAUCAUUGACUUCACUUACAUGUCAUUCCCCCUGGUGUGGAGAAUUAAACUUGUCAGCUCUAGAGAGAGCAGUUUGACUCUCCCCGAAUUCUAACCCAGAAGUGCCCUGUGCUUCCUUGACCUUGGGGAACCUGGAUCAGGGAUGCCUGGACUGAGGCAGUUGAUUCUGUGUACCUUUCUGGGGUUUGAACCAGUCUUCCAGGACACCUGGACAGUACCCAUCUCUGGGUGGGCAUGACCUGCUACUGAUCUGAAAACCUCAAGAAGGAAGGAGGACUUUCCCUGGUCCCAGUGUAUCUGGCAAAAUUGAACCAUUCUUAGAAAGGGAUGGGGGCCUGAAGAGGGAGAAGGUGAAGGACACGUUCAAGGAGGAGCAGCAGAAGCUGUACAGCAAGAUGAUCGUGGGGAACCACAAGGACAGGAGCCGCUCCUGAGCCUGCCUCCAGCUGGCUGGGGCCACCGUGCGGAGUGCCGAUGGGCUCAGAGCUGGAGUUGCUGCCGCCGCCCCCACUGCUGUGUCCUUUCCAGACUCCAGGGCUCCCUGGGCUGCUCUGGAUCCCAGGACUCCGGCUUUCGCCGAGCCGCAGCGGGAUCCCUGUGCACCCGGCGCAGCCUGCCCUUGGUGGUCUAAAUGGAUGCUGCUGGGUGUCGCAACCCAGGAUGAGAUGCCUUGUUUCUUUUACAAUAAGUCGUUGGAGGAAUGCCAUUAAAGUGAACUCCCCACCUUUGCACGCUGUGCGGGCUGAGUGGUUGGGGAGAUGUGGCCAUAGUCUUGUGCUAGAGAUGGUGGGACAAGAGUGUUAUGCAAGCCCAUGUGCCAGGGAU